RNAcentral lists this ribosomal RNA (271 nucleotides) under uncultured bacterium. RNAcentral's name for it is "partial 16S ribosomal RNA". It matches the Rfam family "Bacterial small subunit ribosomal RNA", at positions 524 to 794 of the family's 1533-position model. The record is from RNAcentral.
UACGGAGGGUGCGAGCGUUAAUCGGAAUUACUGGGCGUAAAGCGCCCGCAGGCGGCUUGUUAAGUUCGAAGUGAAAUCUCCCGGCUUAACUGGGAGGGUGCUCCGAAAACUGGCAGGCUUGAGUCAUGGAGAGGGAUGUGGAGUUCCCGGUGUAGUGGUGAAAUGCGUAGAUAUCGGGAGGAACACCAGUGGCGAAGGCGGCAUCCUGGCCAUGUACUGACGCUCAGGGGCGAAAGCGUGGGGAGCAAACCGGAUUAGAUACCCCGGUAGU